Molecule: long non-coding RNA, 292 nt
Organism: Sorex fumeus (smoky shrew)
Lineage: Eukaryota; Metazoa; Chordata; Mammalia; Eulipotyphla; Soricidae
Exons: 3
Source: RefSeq, a predicted model, not a curated record
AGCAAUCAGCCUGGCUUCCCACAUGCUGAGCUUGCAGUCCAGCCUUUUUGAGUCAUCUCCCCAGCUUUUAAAUUGCCCUUUUAACAGGUUAUCACCCAAGAGUUUCUUUUUAAGAGAAAAAUGCUUUUUACCUCCAAAUGAAAAUUUCAUUGAUUAUUCAUCUGACAUUUUCAGUUAUUAAAUAGUAGAAGAAAAUGGAAUUGAAUAUGACAUCAAUAUGGAACAGUCGGAUUCAUUAGGAGUCAACCAUAAUGAUUCCAAAGAUUCAAAAGGAGAGUCUGCAGUGUUUGAG